UACAGAGGGUGCAAGCGUUGUCCGGAAUGAUUGGGCGUAAAGCGUUCGUAGGCGGUCCUUAAAGUCUACUGUUAAAUCCCAGGGCUCAACCUUGGACAGGCAGUGGAGAACUCAAGGGCUAGAGGGCGGUAGGGGUAGAGGGAAUUCCCAGUGUAGCGGUGAAAUGCACAGAGAUUGGGAAGAACACCGGUGGCGAAAGCGCUCUACUGGGCCGCAUCUGACGCUGAGGGACGACAGCUGGGGGAGCGAAUAGG
RNAcentral lists this ribosomal RNA (254 nucleotides) under uncultured bacterium. RNAcentral's name for it is "partial 16S ribosomal RNA". It matches the Rfam family "Bacterial small subunit ribosomal RNA", at positions 524 to 776 of the family's 1533-position model. The record is from RNAcentral.